This 450-nucleotide ribosomal RNA is filed under the name uncultured bacterium. Its description in RNAcentral is "partial 16S ribosomal RNA". It matches the Rfam family "Bacterial small subunit ribosomal RNA", at positions 354 to 796 of the family's 1533-position model. The record is from RNAcentral.
GUGGGGAAUAUUGGACAAUGGGCGCAAGCCUGAUCCAGCAAUGCCGCGUGCAGGAAGAAGGCCUUCGGGUUGUAAACUGCUUUUGUACGGAACGAAACGGUCCUGGUUAAUACCUGGGGCUAAUGACGGUACCGUAAGAAUAAGCACCGGCUAACUACGUGCCAGCAGCCGCGGUAAUACGUAGGGUGCGAGCGUUAAUCGGAAUUACUGGGCGUAAAGCGUGCGCAGGCGGUGCUGUAAGACAGGCGUGAAAUCCCCGGGCUCAACCUGGGAAUUGCGCUUGUGACUGCAGUGCUGGAGUACGGCAGAGGGGGAUGGAAUUCCGCGUGUAGCAGUGAAAUGCGUAGAUAUGCGGAGGAACACCGAUGGCGAAGGCAGUCCCCUGGGCCUGUACUGACGCUCAUGCACGAAAGCGUGGGGAGCAAACAGGAUUAGAAACCCGUGUAGUCC